AGAGCCUGGCCAUAGUAGUCGUACGGGAGCCUCUUGAGCAGGGGGAAAUUCCCGUGGCCUCUGUGUCGGCGACUCCCGUUGUGGAGUCGGCGACUCAGGCAGGUCCUGUCAAAGGGAAAUCCUUCAAGCGAAGGGGGAAGGCUUCAGCUGCCAUUGGGUCGGCGACUGCCAGCCAUGCAUCACCGAUUCCUCUUACGGGAUCGGCG
RNAcentral lists this long non-coding RNA (206 nucleotides) under Zostera marina. Its description in RNAcentral is "long non-coding RNA (ZMAR_LNC005063)". Lineage: Eukaryota; Viridiplantae; Streptophyta; Magnoliopsida; Alismatales; Zosteraceae. The record is from RNAcentral.